CAAUAGCGUAUAUUAAAGUUGUUGCAGUUAAAAAGCUCGUAGUUGGGUUUCUGGUUGAAGCGACCGGUCGGGCGUUGAUUCGUCUGCACUGGAGUCGGUUUUGGCCAUCCUCUAGGAAAGUGCGUCUGGUAUUAAGUUAUCGGGCGUAUGAUCCUGGUCUUUUACUGUGAAAAAAUUAGAGUGUUUAAAGCAGGCCUUCGCCUUGAAUACAUUAGCAUGGAAUAAUAAGAUAGGACUUUGGUCUAUUUUGUUGGUUUGCAGACCGAAGUAAUGAUUAAUAGGGAUAGUUGGGGGUAUUUAUAUUCCGAUGUCAGAGGUGAAAUUCUUAGAUUUUCGGAAGAUAAACUUAUGCGAAAGCAUUUACCAAGGAUGUUUUCAUUAA
Molecule: ribosomal RNA, 382 nt
Filed under: uncultured eukaryote
Lineage: Eukaryota
Description: partial 18S ribosomal RNA
Rfam family: Eukaryotic small subunit ribosomal RNA
Source: RNAcentral